Molecule: ribosomal RNA, 346 nt
Filed under: uncultured bacterium
Lineage: Bacteria
Description: bacterial SSU rRNA
Rfam family: Bacterial small subunit ribosomal RNA
Source: RNAcentral
GAUGAACGCUGGCGGCGUGCUUAACACAUGCAAGUCGAACGAAGCACUUAUGACAGAUUCUUCGGAUGAUGGAUUAAGUGACUGAGUGGCGGACGGGUGAGUAACGCGUGGGUAACCUGCCUCAUACAGGGGGAUAACAGUUAGAAAUGACUGCUAAUACCGCAUAAGCGCACAGGACCGCAUGGUCUAGUGUGAAAAACUCCGGUGGUAUGAGAUGGACCCGCGUCUGAUUAGCUAGUUGGUAAGGUAACGGCUUGCCAAGGCGACGAUCAGUAGCCGACUGAGAGGGUGACCGGCACAUUGGGACUGAGACAGGCCCAAAUCCUACGGGAGCAGCAGUGGGGAA